This 59-nucleotide non-coding RNA is filed under the name Sus scrofa (pig). The record is from RNAcentral. Lineage: Eukaryota; Metazoa; Chordata; Mammalia; Artiodactyla; Suidae.
AGGCAGUGUAAUUAGCUGAUUGUACUCUGGCGCUUACAAUCACUAAUUCCACUGCCAUC